Molecule: long non-coding RNA, 331 nt
Organism: Alosa sapidissima (American shad)
Lineage: Eukaryota; Metazoa; Chordata; Actinopteri; Clupeiformes; Clupeidae
Exons: 3
Source: RefSeq, a predicted model, not a curated record
GUGUAGGGUGUAGAGCCUGACCUUAGCUACCGUCAUUGGUCGAUAGUAAUCUCUGUAAACAUUUAAUUGGUCAGUCAGUCACCUCAAUAGCGCAAACUUCCUUGUUUAGUGUAAGUUCACUGACUAAUUCAAACGUAAAUUUCCAUGUUUUUGUCUCGGUUGAGAUCAACAUGAAGCUGAGUGCCUGACCUGCAAAGCAGGCACUUACGUGUCGGUCGCAAAUAAAGGUGCCAACGACCUACAGGUAGGCUACACAAUGUUCAGCAAAGCAUCGAACGGCAGCGAGGGGUGAGAGCUCAUCAGCUAAAACACGGUCCCUGGCACCAGUAAA